CCUACGGGAGGCAGCAGUGAGGAAUAUUGGUCAAUGGGCGGGAGCCUGAACCAGCCAAGCCGCGUGAAGGAAGAAGGCGCCAAGCGUCGUAAACUUCUUUUGUCGGGGAACAAAGGGCGCCACGUGUGGCGUUGUGAGUGUACCCGAAGAAAAAGCAUCGGCUAACUCCGUGCCAGCAGCCGCGGUAAUACGGAGGAUGCGAGCGUUAUCCGGAUUUACUGGGUGUAAAGGGCGUGCAGCCGGAGAGACAAGUCAGAUGUGAAAUCCGCGGGCUCAACCCGCGAACUGCAUUUGAAACUGUUUCCCUUGAGUAUCGGAGAGGUCAUCGGAAUUCCUAGUGUAGCGGUGAAAUGCGUAGAUAUUAGGAAGAACACCAGUGGCGAAGGCGGAUGACUGGACGACAACUGACGGUGAGGCGCGAAAGCGUGGGGAGCAAACAGGAUUAGAUACCCGUGUAGUC
RNAcentral lists this ribosomal RNA (460 nucleotides) under uncultured bacterium. RNAcentral describes it as "partial 16S ribosomal RNA". It matches the Rfam family "Bacterial small subunit ribosomal RNA", at positions 338 to 795 of the family's 1533-position model. The record is from RNAcentral.